AUGGACCAUCAGCUACGGAAUAUGUUGGCUAACCUCUCACAGGUUGCUAACAAUUUUUUUCUUAUUGUCAUCUUGGUAAUUGACAUUGGUGGUAUUGUCUUUUAGUUCAACAGAAAGUUGUUCAAGUGAAAAUUCAGAGGAACAUGUGGAACAAAAGACAUGGUAUAAAAAGGAAAGGAAAGACUAAACAGUACAAUGAUGCAGGUUCGGGUUUCAUAUGUUGUCUUCGCUGCCUCAUGAAUAUGCUAGCAUGGUUGUCUUCUGGAUUAUGCACAUGUCUUUGUUUGCCAUAUACUCUCGACGCAUUGUGUAGUAUGUACUAAUUCUAGGGAGACUGAUCUCAUAUUGUUCACUCUUCAGAAUUAGUAUUUAUAAGUUUUUGUGUGGUUUUAGCACCUCAGUUAAGAAAUAAAUAUUAGCCUUCUCUAAAGAGGUUUGUUGCCUUGCUUUUUAACCUUUUCCCCUGUUCAAAUUGUCAGAUGAUGGCUACAGAUAUGGACACCUGUAUACAUAUGGGAUGUUUCCUCUGUCAAUGCCGUCCUUUAAUCCAGUUAAUGAUGCUGAAGUUUUCAAUGGCUUUGGCACCGCAUACAUAUGGGAUGUUUCCUCCGUCAAUGGCUCAAUGCUGUCCUUUAAUCCAGUUAAUGAUGCUGAAGUUUUUAAUGGCUUUGGCAUGCAAAGCCAUCCAAAUGUGGAAAAUAGAUCUCUUGGUUGCAAUGAGGGAGUUGUAUAUGAAGAAGCUCUACAGAACUUUUAUGCAGCAUAUCAGUCAAGAAACAAAGGAAGAAGAUAUGUCUCAAGCGGGAUUUAAUCGAUGGAGUUCCGCUGCUAAAGGGCGUGAGAGGCAGUCCCAUCAUUGGAAGUUUACUGUUUGAAUCACAGGGAUCUGGGAUUACACAAGCACAUACUUUACUGAAUUCUAUAGUUCUAUUCGUUGGCACAUCGGUUGAUCAGUUUUGAGGUAUGCUAGCAUUCAAAUCUACUUCGGACACUAGAUCACACAUCAAAAUUUUGAUACCUGAAAUGGUAGCUUCAGAAGAAGGGUAUCAAAAUAGAUUCAUGGUCUCUUUGCUUAGUUCUAUGCUUCUCAAAAUGCUUUAGUAUAUGCCCAUAAUAUCAUAGUACGAAUUGUUCUAUGAGCAGUUUCCUUUGUCUACCAUCAGGGAUAGUAAUUCAUUCGGUAAUCUGAUAUGUAUAUGUUCUGCAUUUCUGACUGAAAUAAUGGUAAGUUUGGCUUUGGCAAUUGGUGUGUGUAGUUUUUUCAGUUGAUAUAAUUUGAUCAUGCUGAAGGCAAGAUAUACAUCAUGGUUACUUCAGGUAGCUUAAAGGGUGUGGGUCAGUGUUAAAUGUGAAAUAGCUUCACCGGGCAAGUUGUUUCACUUCUUUACAUUCAAGAGUUAAACCAGGGACGAAGCACAAUCAGACACUCUGUUUUUGCAAAAUAUUUUCUACCUUCCUCUGUCGUUGAAGUGUAUUGGCUUUCUUUCUUACAAUACAAAACUGAAAAGUAUUGUUUAAUAAACUAUAAUCGAAUUUUUCUAAGGUGGAGAUGAGAAAAAUUGUGAACAAGAUAGAACACACUCACUAUGGUACCUGUGUUUCGUAAUCAAGGUCCUGAAUUUAGCUUGACGAACUAUCAAUUCAAAUAGAUCAUAGAACAAUGGUUAUAACUUUAGUAGGGCAUUCUGUCCUGGAAAUACAAUUGUUGAUAGAUCUGCUUUCCUGCGAUCAAGAGACAAAGAAAACUGGAACGAAGCAAUCCUGUUACUGAAUUUUCGUAUAUAUACGUGCGUCAUCCCUCAAGAGAACUCUUAGUCAGAGUCGAACUCUGCAUCCUCUCCGCCUUCCCUAACCCCUCUCAUAAAUAUCGUCUUCGGUGGCUUGGGGGAGAGGAGUGGAGUGGGGUUUGGAUCCCGUGGAUGCGGACGAGAGAAGCAAAACAUUGAUGCCGGUGGCAAGGGCCUUUUCGAGACUCCGAACGUGCUGCUUGACAGAGCCUGGACAUGUGCAACGGAGGCUCGCCGCCGUCGGGAUCCGGCCACCACGGGCUCCCAGCGUCAGAUCCGUAGGUACCGGAACCAAUCUUGCAGCCACCGUUGGUUUCUCUCGGAGCAAGUGCUACUAUUGGGAUCCGGCUACCACAAGCUCCCCAGGGUUGGAUCCGUCUGUCCUGGAGCCGACCCUGCACCCUGUGCUCCUUUCUCUCGAAGCAAGCAAGCGAUUGACGCAGCAGCGGCACGAGGGAGCGAGCUCUGCCUUGAGGUGCCACUGGGGCAGACAACCACGAGCUCCUCCACCACCAUCUCCUCCCCUACCCGGGUUCAUCUGCUCAUCUGCACCGUCAUGGCGGCUAGCAUCAGUACCUCUAUCCUCCACACCAGUUACGUCACACACCGAUAUCAAUAGGGACUGUACCUUGCUUCCUUCCGACGCGUGGAGGCUGGCCUCCUCACCCACCCCGUACUGCACUGCUGCAAGGACAAACCAACCCAGGAGGAGGCAAAUAAUAUAGUCAAGCAAAUGCACAUAGUACUAUAGGGUCUGAUCACUUCCUGUGUGUACAUUGGUACUGAGUUCAGAAUGCAUGCCAUCCAACUCAUGCAUCAUAUAUAAGUGAUGGCAUGCUGUUGCUGAAUUGUGAACCAUACAUCUACAAAGAAAAUCAUGGGAAACUUCCUUCCGUGUAAAUUGUGUUUGUACAGAUCAACUGCAGCUGUGUAUGUAUUGCUGAAUAUUUAUGAUAUGCAGAGGGCUGUACACACAUAUUUUCAAGGGGAGUAAAAGGGCAGUUGUUGUCAA
Molecule: non-coding RNA, 2799 nt
Organism: Triticum urartu
Lineage: Eukaryota; Viridiplantae; Streptophyta; Magnoliopsida; Poales; Poaceae
Source: RefSeq, a predicted model, not a curated record